ACUUUAGUGAGCGAGCUCAAUAACCCGUCUCUAACCAAUCUUGUCAUUCCAUCCUGCCCAAUAUGACCAAGACGUGCAUGCCAUUUAAUUGAAACAUUGUGAUCAUUCUCAACAGAAGAUAGCAGGAAAAAAGAAUCACUAUUAUUAAUAUUAUAAUCAAUGUCCAAAACCAUAAAACCAUUCGACAUAAAACCUCUUCCAUAAUAAAUAGUUUCAAGAUGAAUCUUAACUACAUCACUCUCAAAACGAAAAGAAAAGCCUAACUGUAGCAUA
Molecule: long non-coding RNA, 273 nt
Filed under: Ananas comosus (pineapple)
Lineage: Eukaryota; Viridiplantae; Streptophyta; Magnoliopsida; Poales; Bromeliaceae
Description: long non-coding RNA (ACOM_LNC037879)
Source: RNAcentral